UGCAAGUCGAACGGUGAAGCCCAGCUUGCUGGGUGGAUCAGUGGCGAACGGGUGAGUAACACGUGAGCAACCUGCCCCUGACUCUGGGAUAAGCGCUGGAAACGGCGUCUAAUACUGGAUACGAGACGUGACCGCAUGGUCAACGUUUGGAAAGAUUUUUCGGUUGGGGAUGGGCUCGCGGCCUAUCAGCUUGUUGGUGAGGUAAUGGCUCACCAAGGCGUCGACGGGUAGCCGGCCUGAGAGGGUGACCGGCCACACUGGGACUGAGACACGGCCCAGACUCCUACGGGAGGCAGCAGUGGGGAAUAUUGCACAAUGGGCGGAAGCCUGAUGCAGCAACGCCGCGUGAGGGAUGACGGCCUUCGGGUUGUAAACCUCUUUUAGCAGGGAAGAAGCGAAAGUGACGGUACCUGCAGAAAAAGCGCCGGCUAACUACGUGCCAGCAGCCGCGGUAAUACGUAGGGCGCAAGCGUUAUCCGGAAUUAUUGGGCGUAAAGAGCUCGUAGGCGGUUUGUCGCGUCUGCUGUGAAAUCUGGGGGCUCAACCCCCAGCCUGCAGUGGGUACGGGCAGACUAGAGUGCGGUAGGGGAGAUUGGAAUUCCUGGUGUAGCGGUGGAAUGCGCAGAUAUCAGGAGGAACACCGAUGGCGAAGGCAGAUCUCUGGGCCGUAACUGACGCUGAGGAGCGAAAGGGUGGGGAGCAAACAGGCUUAGAUACCCUGGUAGUCCACCCCGUAAACGUUGGGAACUAGUUGUGGGGUCCAUUCCACGGAUUCCGUGACGCAGCUAACGCAUUAAGUUCCCCGCCUGGGGAGUACGGCCGCAAGGCUAAAACUCAAAGGAAUUGACGGGGACCCGCACAAGCGGCGGAGCAUGCGGAUUAAUUCGAUGCAACGCGAAGAACCUUACCAAGGCUUGACAUAUACGAGAACGGGCCAGAAAUGGUCAACUCUUU
Molecule: ribosomal RNA, 954 nt
Filed under: Microbacterium profundi
Lineage: Bacteria; Bacillati; Actinomycetota; Actinomycetes; Micrococcales; Microbacteriaceae
Description: bacterial SSU rRNA
Rfam family: Bacterial small subunit ribosomal RNA
Source: RNAcentral